GAUGAACGCUGGCGGCGUGCCUAAUACAUGCAAGUCGAGCGAACAGACGAGGAGCUUGCUCCUCUGACGUUAGCGGCGGACGGGUGAGUAACACGUGGAUAACCUACCUAUAAGACUGGGAUAACUUCGGGAAACCGGAGCUAAUACCGGAUAAUAUAUUGAACCGCAUGGUUCAAUAGUGAAAGACGGUUUUGCUGUCACUUAUAGAUGGAUCCGCGCCGCAUUAGCUAGUUGGUAAGGUAACGGCUUACCAAGGCAACGAUGCGUAGCCGACCUGAGAGGGUGAUCGGCCACACUGGAACUGAGACACGGUCCAGACUCCUACGGGAGGCAGCAGUAGGGAAUCUUCCGCAAUGGGCGAAAGCUUGACGGAGCAACGCCGCGUAAGUGAUGAAGGUCUUCGGAUCGUAAAACUCUGUUAUUAGGGAAGAACAAAUGUGUAAGUAACUAUGCACGUCUUGACGGUACCUGAUAAAAAAGCCACGGCUAACUACGUG
RNAcentral lists this ribosomal RNA (497 nucleotides) under uncultured bacterium. RNAcentral describes it as "partial 16S ribosomal RNA". It matches the Rfam family "Bacterial small subunit ribosomal RNA", at positions 28 to 507 of the family's 1533-position model. The record is from RNAcentral.